ACAAGUCAUAAGCUCUACUGAGUUUACUAGAAGAAUCCCUAAAUACAACUGUUCAUAGUGGAAAUUAAAUGGUACAAGUAGAAUUCAAAAGGUGACUCCAAUGCCUGCGAACGUGAAAACAUGUUUACCUUGAGUCUCCACAGGUCGACCAACCAGCUAAUAAUCAACAACAACCGUAGCACCUGGAUCUGCACAAAAAUGUGUAGAGGAGUAGUAUGAGUACACCAUAGCGGUACCUAGUAAGUAUCAAGACUAAUCUCGGUAGAGUAGUGACGAGGAACAAUCAAGACACCUACCGGACUAAACAACCUGAACUAGUAUGAAGGUAAACUAACGGAGAAAGCAAUAUUAAUAUAAAGCUAAGCAGGAUAAGGAAUACAAAACCAUACUUACAAUAAUACACUAGUAACAACAAUAUUUAACAUGAAGCAGUCAGGUAAUAACAUUUUAGAGUAAAUUAAACACAGUCUAAGUCUGGUGAAACCAAAUAAAGAAAAACCAGCAACAACUCAAUAAGAACAACUACUUUCACACCAAGUUUGUUCAAGCAUUUCCACAAGGUACCAAACCUCAUAAUCAUAGCUCACGGGUCCCAAUUCUUGAACCCUAAUCACUUGGCAUCUUGUGCCCACAUUACAACUCAUAACUGCACGGGCGACUCAUGUGCCAAUAGAACAAUCCUCACAUAGAAGGCAAGAAGAUGAGUACAUAUAAUGGUUAAUGAUGUUAGGAUUCACCUUUUUAAAACCGAUAUGGGUGAUUGUACUACGUGUAUGCUUGUGCAGGUGUUUUACCAUAAUUCUAGUCAACAAAUAAGAAUAAAGACACUGAAUGGUACCUAAAAAAUGAUCACCACGAAAUAUAUAGUGUAAUAAAUAGUUAAUGAGGUUGAAGUAGCAAUAACACAACAAGAUUAGAUACAUAGAAUUGAGCAAAUAGUACAACACGGAUGAGAACAACUAAUAGUAUGCAAAGGAAAACAACAAUCAAAGACAAGUGCAUAGAAAAGGGGAAACAACAACAGAGCCCUCCCAAGAUACCGUCUCAUAGUCUCAAAUAGUAAAAUGAAUCACAACAUUCCUUAUAUUACCACAAGAGCCUUUAUAUUUAGUUUUUAAGAGUCAUUUUUCCUGAAAUAGUAUCCUGCGUUUUAGCCCACCUUAUCACACUGUAUGGCUUCUAGUAAUUCCCCUACUAGCCACACGUUUCAAGCCCACCUUAUCUCACUGCAUGCGUUUCAACACCCAGACUUUAUACCACCGCAUGCGUAUUAAUAACAACAACACGUUAGAAACCUCGUGCAACAUAACAAUAACUGCACGGCAUAAACCUCGUGCAAACACAAUAACAACCGCAUGGCAAAAAUCUCGUGCAAACACAACACUGAAUACAACAGCAACAACGAUAAUAACACAAGAAUACGACAAGUAAAUCAACUCAGAAAAUCAUGAACAUAAAGAGACGGAAGAAGAAACUCACAAAGAAAGACAUAACAGGAAAUAAUGGUACAACAUAGCAAUAGCUCAACAAGGAAGAGAUCCCAUAUAGCAAUGAUUCCAUAUAAGUACAAUUCAACUAUAAGAGGGCCCCGAUGCCGUACUGGCAACCAUUCUGUAACUCAUUCUUUCUGUGACCAUCGUGAGCCAACAUGACAACUCGUAGUGCAUAACUGUAAGUGGACAACAAUGUAUCAAUAAACUAUCGUUCUUAAGACAAAAAUACAUAUGAGCCGUCAAGGCCUCUGACAUACUGUACAAACUGAACCUCAGUCUACAAAGCCUCUAAGAUUAUUUGACAUAAAAUGGGACAGGGUACCUGCCUACCCAUAAGUCUGAAGUAAAACUCUGACGCGAUGACUCAUAGAUUUGGCUGCACUCCAAAUGAUGUAGAGUCUUACCGAUCCUUCGCUGAACGCUAACCUCGUCUAUAAUGAGGAUUCAUCAAAUUGAUUACUUAUACCUGCAAGCAUGAAUGCAUCGUCCACAACAAAAGGAUGUCAGUACAAACAAUAUAUCGAGUAUGUAAGGCAUGUAAAUCGAUAUAUAAAGGACAUGAAAGAAACAUGGAGUACAUGACUCAACCUGUAAGUCUGGAUAACUCUGUAUAUCAUUUAGUAUUUAUUGUGUCAUGCAUAUGCGUAUGAAUGUCAUGUCGUGCAUAGACACAUAUGUUCAUAACAUCAUCAAGCCUCUGAGGGCAUCCCAUCAUAUCAUCUCAGCCACUGUGGGCAGAAUCAUCAUCAUAUACCAGCUGAUCAGGUGGUGCGUAUAUAACGCCAUAACCUUUCCCAUAUCCCAUAUAUAUAUAUAUAUAUAUAUAUAUAUAUAUAUAUAUAUAUAUAUAUACGCGUAUAUAAACCAUAACAUCAUCACGCCUCUGAGGGCGUCCCAUCAUAUCAUUUCGGCAACUGUGGGAAAAUCAUCAACGUAUACCAGUUGAUCAGGUGUUGUUGCGUAUAUAACGCCGUAACCUAUACAUAUAUUUACAUAUAUACGCGUAUAUAACGCCAUCUGGUCAUGGGUCAAUGCACAUGUAUAAAUGGGUGAAAUGCAUGAAAAUACGUAUAAUCUCAAUAUUCCUUCCGGAUAAACUUUUUCAACUGCGUACUAUUCUGAGACCCAUGAACAAAAGAUAACAAAAAUUUUCAUAGGGAAUCAAGAAUAUAGACACCCCUAAUAUCUCUAUGAAUAGAGUAAUUUAUGGAAACUAUACGUUUGCUCGUUUCUUCAGUUUAUUUUGAACCAUGCCAAAAGAAAGAAGGAAUGACCUUAACAUACCUAAGAAAUAAAGUAAGAAGCCUGGAUUGGUAGAAGAAUUUCUAGAAUCCAAAUUUCCAUAAUAAUCUCAAUGAAGCUUCUACAGAACCAUAUGCUAGCAUGUAAUUUAUUUCCAUUAAGAUCCUUCCCUUAUCAAGUCUUGAUAUGGAAGAUGCUAAUUCUUUUACAUAAUGAAUUGUUUCUCUAGAAAAAUGAAAUCCUAAACGGCCUGCUAUCCUCACUCCACGCAAAAAUGCGAGCACAGUCCUCGAUGAAAGAAAUAGAGGAUCAAAACUUUAUUGAUUAUGUGUGGAAGGAAUUAUAAUACAGCUACAUAAUGGUUUGCUUAAGAAAAUGUGUUUCUUCAUAAGCAUUUCUGAAUACAUUUUACUGGAACCAUUCGUCAGAAAUACUAAUUUCCCUAUCCAACACUUCUACUUUAUACUAUUUCAAACUUGAUGUGACAUCUCUUUCAACUGCGUCAAUGUUUCACACUUCAAAAAAAUUUACUAACCUACUCCCCAACCAACUCAACACAUCAAUGCCAUCCUAGAGAAGAAAGACUUCAUAGACAUUUCAAAUGAAGAAAUCAUUCUAAAUUGCCUCUGUCAUUCAAAGCCCUCACACGGCUCAUGCAGCACUAAGUGAUUAAUCUUUUAGAUUACGCGCCAGAGAGCAUGGCAUAAAUACCUAAAUCAGGUAAUACAACCCUUUGAAUUUUCUUAGACAUCCCUAGUCAUAUUUUGAGACUUCUACAUCAUAAUCUCUGCCUAACUUCCCUACCAAGUAAUUCCCAAAAGCUAAAUUGCUUCCAUUGUAUAUCUCAACGAAUUGUGACUCUUUUUCUCUAAUUAAAUCAAUUCUUUACAAUAAGAGCUGCUCAAAGAUGUACUUAUUACACUAUUAUUUAGAAAUUUAACCUUAAUUUGAAAUAUUUUUAUCCUAAAAAUUAAAAUAAAGGAGAAAGAAGAUAAUGCUAGGAAUAAACUAAACUUACUAUCAGCUACACUCUUUCACAUGUAAACCCUCCUACCAUACAUUUGCUAAAGACGUAAAUCAAGAAAUAAAACUAAUUCACUUAUCAGUAGAAUAACACAAACCCAACAUUGAUUUCGUGUAAAAAGCUCAGAAUAAACAUACCAUUACCAAUAUUGCCAAGAAAUUUGGGGGGAAACAAUUCAACCAUGGCGUAAUUUCUCGUUAAAUGCAUAAAAUUAACGGUAAAAUAAACAACCAUGUUGCAAUUUGCUCAAGUGGGUAACGAAAGGAAAAGAAAGAGAGAUACCCCAACUUUUAAUGAGAUUAU
Molecule: long non-coding RNA, 4062 nt
Filed under: Nicotiana tabacum (common tobacco)
Lineage: Eukaryota; Viridiplantae; Streptophyta; Magnoliopsida; Solanales; Solanaceae
Description: long non-coding RNA (NTAB_LNC006460)
Source: RNAcentral